GAUGAAAGAACGUAGCGAAAUGCGAUACGUAAUGUGAAUUGCAGAAUUCAGUGAAUCAUCGAAUCUUUGAACGCAUAUUGCGCUCUCUGGUAUUCCGGAGAGCAUGCUUGUUUGAGUAUCAGUAAACACCUCAACUUCCAUAUCUUUUUUGAAAUGGGAGUUGGACUUGAGUGAUCCCAACGCUUUUCCUCACCGAAAAGUGGCGGGUUACUUGAAAUGCAGGUGCAGCUGGACUUUUCUCUGAGCUAUAAGCAUAUCUAUUUAGUCUGCCUAAAAAACAGAUUAUUACCUUUGCUGCAGCUAACAUAAAGGAGAUUAGUUCUUGUGCUGACUGAUGCAGGAUUCACAAAGACAGCUUCGGCCGACUUUGUAAACUCGAUCUCAAAUCAAGUAAGACUACCCGCUGAACUUAAGCAUAUCAAUAAGCGGAGGA
This 433-nucleotide unclassified non-coding RNA is filed under the name soil metagenome. RNAcentral's name for it is "partial contains 5.8S ribosomal RNA, internal transcribed spacer 2, and large subunit ribosomal RNA". The stretch from base 6 to 121 matches the Rfam family "5.8S ribosomal RNA", at positions 39 to 154 of the family's 154-position model. The record is from RNAcentral.